Molecule: ribosomal RNA, 492 nt
Filed under: uncultured bacterium
Lineage: Bacteria
Description: bacterial SSU rRNA
Rfam family: Bacterial small subunit ribosomal RNA
Source: RNAcentral
GAUGAACGCUAGCUACAGGCUUAACACAUGCAAGUCGCGGGGUAACAUCUGGGAGAGCUUGCUCUUCCAGGAUGACGACCGGCGCACGGGUGAGUAACGCGUAUCCAACCUGGCCCAUACCACGGGAUAGCCCGUCGAAAGGCGGAUUAAUACCGUAUGCUGUCAUUAAGAGGCAUUUUUUGAUGACGAAAGGACUGGCGGUAUGGGAUGGGGAUGCGUCUGAUUAGCUUGUUGGCGGGGUAACGGCCCACCAAGGCGACGAUCAGUAGGGGUUCUGAGAGGAAGGUCCCCCACAUUGGAACUGAGACACGGUCCAAACUCCUACGGGAGGCAGCAGUGAGGAAUAUUGGUCAAUGGGCGCAAGCCUGAACCAGCCAAGUAGCGUGAGGGAAGACUGCCCUACGGGUUGUAAACCUCUUUUGUUUGGGAAUAAAGUGCGGGACGUGUCCCGCAUUGCAUGUACCAUUUGAAUAAGGACCGGCUAAUUCCGUG